UAACAAUAGCAUUUAUUGCAAUUUGAUUUCGGCUCAAAAAGAGGCCAAGCCAUUGUUCA
RNAcentral lists this transfer RNA (59 nucleotides) under Barbronia yunnanensis. Its description in RNAcentral is "tRNA-Arg". Lineage: Eukaryota; Metazoa; Annelida; Clitellata; Hirudinida; Salifidae. The record is from RNAcentral.